GUUGAUCCUGGCUCAGGAUGAACGCUGGCGGUCUGCUUAACACAUGCAAGUCGAACGGGCUCUUCGGAGCUAGUGGCGGACGGGUGAGUAACGCGUGAGAAUCUGCCUUCAGGAGGGGGAUAACGACUGGAAACGGUCGCUAAUACCCCAUAUGCCUCCGGGUGAAAAGUAAUUCGCCUGAAGAUGAGCUCGCGUCAGAUUAACUAGUUGGUGGGGUAAGAGCCUACCAAGGCGACGAUCUGUAGCUGGUCUGAGAGGAUGAUCAGCCACACUGGGACUGAGACACGGCCCAGACUCCUACGGGAGGCAGCAGUGGGGAAUUUUCCGCAAUGGGCGCAAGCCUGACGGAGCAAGACCGCGUGGGGGAUGACGGCCUAAUGGUUGUAAACCCCUUUUCUCUGGGAAGAAGACUGACGGUACCAGAGGAAUCAGCCUCGGCUAACUCCGUGCCAGCAGCCGCGGUAAUACGGAGGAGGCAAGCGUUAUCCGGAAUUAUUGGGCGUAAAGCGUCCGUAGGUGGUUAUUCAAGUCUGCUGUCAAAGCGUGGGGCUUAACUCCAUAGAGGCAGUGGAAACUGAGUGACUAGAGUGCGGUAGGGGUCGAGGGAAUUCCCAGUGUAGCGGUGUAAUGCGUAGAUAUUGGGAAGAACACCAGUGGCGAAAGCGCUCGACUGGGCCUGCACUGACACUGAGGGACGAAAGCUAGGGGAGCGAAAGGGAUUAGAUACCCCUGUAGUCCUAGCCGUAAACGAUGGAUACUAGGUGUUGCUCGUCAUCGACCCGAGCAGUGCCGUAGCCAACGCGUUAAGUAUCCCGNCUGGGGAGUACGC
This 829-nucleotide ribosomal RNA is filed under the name uncultured organism. RNAcentral describes it as "bacterial SSU rRNA". It matches the Rfam family "Bacterial small subunit ribosomal RNA", at positions 11 to 885 of the family's 1533-position model. The record is from RNAcentral.